CUUGCGGAGAAUCCAACAUAUCUGCCGCACCUCUUCUGGAGAAGGUACCGAAUGCGCCGAUCCCUCUUUGUGAAAAUUGUUCAAGCUUGCGAGGCAAAUUGUCAGUAUUUUACUCAAAGAAGAAAUGCUGCGGGUUUGAAGGGAUUUAGUGCAUAUCAAAAAAUCUCGGCAGCUAUGCGGGUGAUUGCAUAUGGCGUUCCGGCUGACUAUGCCGAUGAGUACCUUCGCAUUGGUGAAGAUACCACAAUUGAGUCAGUGCAUAGAUUUGCCAAAGUGAUCAUCCGUGUCUUUGGUCCUGAAUAUCUUCAGGCACCCAACGAGGAUGACACAAAGAAAUUGAUGGCAUCUAAUUGUUGGGGAACGCGGUAA
This 369-nucleotide ribosomal RNA is filed under the name Triticum aestivum (bread wheat). RNAcentral's name for it is "partial small subunit ribosomal RNA". The record is from RNAcentral. Lineage: Eukaryota; Viridiplantae; Streptophyta; Magnoliopsida; Poales; Poaceae.